This 501-nucleotide ribosomal RNA is filed under the name uncultured bacterium. Its description in RNAcentral is "bacterial SSU rRNA". It matches the Rfam family "Bacterial small subunit ribosomal RNA", at positions 21 to 507 of the family's 1533-position model. The record is from RNAcentral.
GGCUCAGGAUGAACGCUAGCUACAGGCUUAACACAUGCAAGUCGAGGGGCAGCAUGGUCUUAGCUUGCUAAGGCCGAUGGCGACCGGCGCACGGGUGAGUAACACGUAUCCAACCUGCCGUCUACUCUUGGGACAGCCUUCUGAAAGGAAGAUUAAUACAAGAUGGCAUCAUGAGUCCGCAUGUUCACAUGAUUAAAGGGUAUUCCGGUAGACGAUGGGGUUGCGUUCCAUUAGAUAGUAGGCGGGGUAACGGCCCACCUAGUCUUCGAUGGAUAGGGGGUUCUGAGAGGAAGGUCCCCCCACAUUGGAACUGAGACACGGUCCAAACUCCUACGGGAGGCAGCAGUGAGGAAUAUUGGUCAAUGGGCGAGAGCCUGAACCAGCCAAGUAGCGUGAAGGAUGACUGCCCUAUGGGUUGUAAACUUCUUUUAUAAAGGAAUAAAGUCGGGUAUGGAUACCCGUUUGCAUGUACUUUAUGAAUAAGGAUCGGCUAACUCCGUG